This 406-nucleotide ribosomal RNA is filed under the name uncultured bacterium. Its description in RNAcentral is "partial 16S ribosomal RNA". It matches the Rfam family "Bacterial small subunit ribosomal RNA", at positions 30 to 526 of the family's 1533-position model. The record is from RNAcentral.
AUUGAACGCUGGCGGCAGGCCUAACACAUGCAAGUCGAACGAGUGGCGGACGGGUGAGUAAUGUCUGGGAAACUGCCUGAUGGAGGGGGAUAACUACUGGAAACGGUAGCUAAUACCGCAUACCAUCAGAUGUGCCCAGAUGGGAUUAGCUAGUUGGUGGGGUAACGGCCUACCAAGGCGACGAUCCCUAACUGGUCUGAGAGGAUGAUCAGCCACACUGGAACGGAGACACGGUCCAGACUCCUACGGGAGGCAGCAGUGGGGAAUAUUGGACAAUGGGCGAAAGCCUGAUGCAGCCAUGCCGCGUGUGUGAAGAAGGCCUUCGGAUUGUAAAGCACUUUCAGGGGGGAGGCGUUACCAACAGAAGAAGCACCGGCUAACUCCGUGCCAGCAGCCGCGGUAAUAC